GUCACAGACAUUCAGAUCAUGGCAGAACUGUCACAGAUGUUACUUUGUGAAAACACAAAGAAUAAUGUGUUUGGAGAGAUCAGUCUUCAAUUAGCUAUAUUUUCUAGGAGCCUACCUUUACUUAGCCUCACAACAUGGGCCUUAGCUUUAGCACUUAAUCUGCACAAAUACCUGGCUUAAGUGUUAUGACUGACUGGCUAUUCAACCAAACCAUACAAAUGACCAAUUCGGUAAGAAAGCAUGAACUUCAGUGUUGAACCAAAUCAACCAACCUCCUCAAUCCAAAUGAACAAUGCUAUUCUAGGAGUCUGUGCUAGAAUAAAAUCCUAAUGCAAAGGCUGUCUUAAAAUGCUGAACCCAGAAGAAUUUGGCAUAAAUAAGACAUGGAGUUAGCUGACAUGAGAUAUUACAUUUAUUCCACUGUUGACGAGGACAAAACUGGGCCGCUAUUGUCACAGGAGAGGAUAACAAAGGAAGCUGAGGAAGUCUGUUCUGGAGGCACCAUGACAAAGCACCAGACAGAAAGCAGUCACGUGUGGGGAGAUGAGCAGAGACACCACUUCUCAAGCACCUGAUUAUUCUUUCUCAGUAUUUAGAAGCAAAAAUUAUCCUUAAGAAAAACAACCGCAAACGCAACACAGGCUACACAGAUGAGAAAAUGGGGCUUGCAGAGCUCAAACCAUUACACCAUUCAGAAGCUGGCUUUGGUAUUACUUCAAGUUAUUCAAAACAGUCACCACUUGCUGAGCCUCUGAUGUCUCAUCUGUUGAAUGGGUACAUUUUCUUCCUGAUCCUUCCACCUCUAAACUUGUCUAUUUCCAAGGAUCUAUGGCAUCCAGGCAUAUGAUUUCAAGAGAGAAGGCUGAAAAGGAAGGUGACUGGAAUAUUAAGAACUGUGAGAUAUUCUGAGGAAACUCUAAUUUGUAAAUUGGUAGAAAUGCCAGUAAUUUGUUGGGAAUUGAAGACCCUCUGUAUUCAAGAGCGAAGCUUGGCAGCUGUGCACUGUUGUUUUAUAAAUCAAUAUUACAUCUGAAGGUGGUGUUUGAAUGUUUGUGUCAUUGGGGUUUGUCUCCAACAUAGUCCUGUGACAAGAAAUGUUCAAACAAAACAAACACAAUCCCUUCCCUGUCCUUUAGGAUAAAGUCCAAACGUAAUUCCACAACAGGGAUAUAACAUUCAAAUCAACUACAGAACUUCUGUAAUUAUAUAAAACCCCACGACCACAGAAAUGCAAUUGAAUUGAAGACACUUUGCAAUAUUCCCCAAGAAAGGACUGUGUGGCUGUCAGAUUAACAAAAGUCAAGAGGUGGUGAGACAAUGCUCACCAUUGCAAAAAAGAGCUUUGUGCAUAAU
Molecule: long non-coding RNA, 1353 nt
Filed under: Homo sapiens (human)
Lineage: Eukaryota; Metazoa; Chordata; Mammalia; Primates; Hominidae
Description: HSALNT0302722
Source: RNAcentral